GAGUAACCUGCCCUUAACUCUGGGAUAAGCCUGGGAAACUGGGUCUAAUACCGGAUAUGACUCCUCAUCGCAUGGUGGGGGGUGGAAAGCUUUAUUGUGGUUUUGGAUGGACUCGCGGCCUAUCAGCUUGUUGGUGAGGUAAUGGCUCACCAAGGCGACGACGGGUAGCCGGCCUGAGAGGGUGACCGGCCACACUGGGACUGAGACACGGCCCAGACUCCUACGGGAGGCAGCAGUGGGGAAUAUUGCACAAUGGGCGAAAGCCUGAUGCAGCGACGCCGCGUGAGGGAUGACGGCCUUCGGGUUGUAAACCUCUUUCAGUAGGGAAGAAGCGAAAGUGACGGUACCUGCAGAAGAAGCGCCGGCUAACUACGUGCCAGCAGCCGCGGUAAUACGUAGGGCGCAAGCGUUAUCCGGAAUUAUUGGGCGUAAAGAGCUCGUAGGCGGUUUGUCGCGUCUGCUGUGAAAGACCGGGGCUCAACUCCGGUUCUGCAGUGGGUACGGGCAGACUAGAGUGAUGUAGGGGAGACUGGAAUUCCUGGUGUAGCGGUGAAAUGCGCAGAUAUCAGGAGGAACACCGAUGGCUAAGGCAGGUCUCUGGGCAUUAACUGACGCUGAGGAGCGAAANCUUGCUGAGCGAACAGGAUUAGAUACCCUGGUAGUCCAUGCCGUACAAGUUNNNGCACUAGUGUGUGUGGGGACAUUCCACGUUUUUUCUCCGCCNCCUUUAA
RNAcentral lists this ribosomal RNA (731 nucleotides) under Arthrobacter sp. Its description in RNAcentral is "bacterial SSU rRNA". It matches the Rfam family "Bacterial small subunit ribosomal RNA", at positions 119 to 863 of the family's 1533-position model. Lineage: Bacteria; Bacillati; Actinomycetota; Actinomycetes; Micrococcales; Micrococcaceae. The record is from RNAcentral.